Molecule: ribosomal RNA, 464 nt
Filed under: Vreelandella stevensii
Lineage: Bacteria; Pseudomonadati; Pseudomonadota; Gammaproteobacteria; Oceanospirillales; Halomonadaceae
Description: partial 16S ribosomal RNA
Rfam family: Bacterial small subunit ribosomal RNA
Source: RNAcentral
CCUACGGGGGCUGCAGUGGGGAAUAUUGGACAAUGGGCGAAAGCCUGAUCCAGCCAUGCCGCGUGUGUGAAGAAGGCCUUCGGGUUGUAAAGCACUUUCAGUGGGGAAGAAAGCCUUGGGGCUAAUACCCUCGAGGAAGGACAUCACCCACAGAAGAAGCACCGGCUAACUCCGUGCCAGCAGCCGCGGUAAUGCGGAGGGUGCGAGCGUUAAUCGGAAUUACUGGGCGUAAAGCGCGCGUAGGCGGUCUGAUAAGCCGGUUGUGAAAGCCCCGGGCUCAACCUGGGAACGGCAUCCGGAACUGUCAGGCUAGAGUGCAGGAGAGGAAGGUAGAAUUCCCGGUGUAGCGGUGAAAUGCGUAGAGAUCGGGAGGAAUACCAGUGGCGAAGGCGGCCUUCUGGACUGACACUGACGCUGAGGUGCGAAAGCGUGGGUAGCAAACAGGAUUAGAUACCCGUGUAGUC